RNAcentral lists this transfer RNA (63 nucleotides) under Dipodomys ordii (Ord's kangaroo rat). It matches the Rfam family "tRNA". From Rfam's summary of the family: Transfer RNA (tRNA) molecules are approximately 80 nucleotides in length. Their secondary structure includes four short double-helical elements and three loops (D, anti-codon, and T loops). The record is from Rfam by way of RNAcentral. Lineage: Eukaryota; Metazoa; Chordata; Mammalia; Rodentia; Heteromyidae.
GGGAAUAUGGCUUAGUGGUAGAGUGCUUGCCUAGUAUGCAUGAACCCCUAGAUUCUAUUCCUC